This 508-nucleotide ribosomal RNA is filed under the name uncultured bacterium. RNAcentral describes it as "partial 16S ribosomal RNA". It matches the Rfam family "Bacterial small subunit ribosomal RNA", at positions 30 to 523 of the family's 1533-position model. The record is from RNAcentral.
AUUGAACGCUGGCGGCAUGCCUUACACAUGCAAGUCGAACGGCAGCGGGGGAGAAGCUUGCUUUUCCUGCCGGCGAGUGGCGAACGGGUGAGUAAUACAUCGGAACGUGCCCUGUAGUGGGGGAUAACUAGUCGAAAGAUUAGCUAAUACCGCAUACGACCUGAGGGUGAAAGUGGGGGACCGCAAGGCCUCAUGCUAUAGGAGCGGCCGAUGUCUGAUUAGCUAGUUGGUGGGGUAAAGGCCUACCAAGGCGGCGAUCAGUAGCUGGUCUGAGAGGACGAUCAGCCACACUGGGACUGAGACACGGCCGAGACUCCUACGGGAGGCAGCAGUGGGGAAUUUUGGACGAUGGGCGAAAGCCUGAUCCAGCAAUGCCGCGUGUGUGAAGAAGGCCUUCGGGUUGUAAAGCACUUUUGUCCGGAAAGAAAUGGCUCUGGUUAAUACCUGGGGUCGAUGACGGUACCGGAAGAAUAAGGACCGGCUAACUACGUGCCAGCCGCCGCAGUAA